Molecule: ribosomal RNA, 283 nt
Filed under: uncultured Erwinia sp.
Lineage: Bacteria; Pseudomonadati; Pseudomonadota; Gammaproteobacteria; Enterobacterales; Erwiniaceae
Description: partial 16S ribosomal RNA
Rfam family: Bacterial small subunit ribosomal RNA
Source: RNAcentral
GUGCCAGCCGCUGCGGUAAUACGGAGGGUGCAAGCGUUAAUCGGAAUUACUGGGCGUAAAGCGCACGCAGGCGGUCUGUCAAGUCGGAUGUGAAAUCCCCGGGCUCAACCCGGGAACUGCAUUCGAAACUGGCAGGCUGGAGUCUCGUAGAGGGGGUAGAUUCCAGGUGUAGCGGUGAAAUGCGUAGAGAUCUGGAGGAUACCGGUGGCGAAGGCCGGCCCCCUGGACGAAGACUGACGCUCAGGUGCGGAAAGCGGUGGGAGCGAAACAGGAUUAGAUACCC